CACCGCGGAUCCUAGCUGUCCUUGGGACGCCAUCAACAGGUUUGAUUAGUUUCUGUAUGUAGAUAGGGUGCUUGAUAAUUUUUCUAAUUGAAAAUUGUGCUCUUUUUCGAUUCAAUACCACAACAUAGCAUCUCUAUAAAUUAAGAUUUGGCUGCUACUGGUAUGUGUAUUAUGAACUUUUGCUAAUUUUUGUUGUGUACUGUCCAGGUGUUGUAUAAUGCUGUUACUUGCUGGUGAUGUUGUUUCUGUGCUGCCUAUGGAGUGACAAUAACGACAUUCAAUUAUGAUGCGUUUGACCGUAACACAAAGAUUAAGGAAAUUAAUUACCAUUUGUCGAUUGACGACUUGAAAAGAAGCAUGGAGGCAACAAAUGGGGUAUUAUUUUGAUCUCAUCUCACACAUUCAAUUACUCUUUGUCCUACUAUAUGGCUUUUUAUUAGUUAUUUACACAUACUCGAUGCAUUGCAAAAUGUCUGUUUCUGGAAAUCGCCAUAUCCCGUAUCCCCGCAACCGUAUUGUCGUAUUUGUCGCUCUAUCAGUGCUUCAUUGGUCUAGGUAAAAAUGUGUAGAUUUCCUUUAUUUUGCGCAUAUUCUCUUCAAUCAGUGUUGUUACUUUUUGUGCUUGGUGUUUUAUUCCAGCCAGAUGCAAGCGGCAAAAGGCGACUGGGAUUAACCAUCGAUGCUGGUUUUCAUAUCCAAAUACCGGUCUUUGUUGGUAUGUACAUGAGAUGGGGGAAAUCAUGCCUUAAGAGAGCCAGAUGCGGAAG
This 767-nucleotide long non-coding RNA is filed under the name Triticum aestivum (bread wheat). RNAcentral's name for it is "long non-coding RNA (TAES_LNC004625)". The record is from RNAcentral. Lineage: Eukaryota; Viridiplantae; Streptophyta; Magnoliopsida; Poales; Poaceae.